Molecule: ribosomal RNA, 439 nt
Filed under: uncultured bacterium
Lineage: Bacteria
Description: partial 16S ribosomal RNA
Rfam family: Bacterial small subunit ribosomal RNA
Source: RNAcentral
CUACGGGACGCACCAGUGGGGAAUAUUGCACAAUGGAGGAAACUCUGAUGCAGCAACGCCGCGUGGAGGAUGACACUUUUCGGAGCGUAAACUCCUUUUAUAUAGGAAGAAGAUGACGGUACUAUAUGAAUAAGCGCCGGCUAACUCCGUGCCAGCAGCCGCGGUAAUGCGGAGGGCGCAAGCGUUACUCGGAAUCACUGGGCGUAAAGAGCGUGUAGGCGGAUUAAAAAGUCAGAAGUGAAAUCCUAUAGCUUAACUAUAGAACUGCUUCUGAAACUCUUAAUCUAGAAUAUGGGAGAGGUAGAUGGAAUUUCUGGUGUAGGGGUAAAAUCCGUAGAGAUCAGAAGGAAUACCGAUUGCGAAGGCGAUCUACUAGAACAUUAUUGACGCUGAGACGCGAAAGCGUGGGGAGCAAACAGGAUUAGAUACCCCUGUAGUC